RNAcentral lists this ribosomal RNA (392 nucleotides) under Chaetoceros sp. RNAcentral describes it as "partial small subunit ribosomal RNA". It matches the Rfam family "Eukaryotic small subunit ribosomal RNA", at positions 582 to 975 of the family's 1831-position model. Lineage: Eukaryota; Bacillariophyta; Thalassiosirophyceae; Chaetocerotales; Chaetocerotaceae. The record is from RNAcentral.
AUUCCAGCUCCAAUAGCGUAUAUUAAAGUUGUUGCAGUUAAAAAGCUCGUAGUUGGAUUUCUGGUGGGAGGGAUCGGUCCCGCACCUAGUGUGGGAACUUGUAUCCUCUCCGGCCAUCCUUGGGUGGAUCUUGUCUGGCAUUAAGUUGUCAGUCAGGGGAUGCCCAUCGUUUACUGUGAAAAAAUUAGAGUGUUCAAAGCAGGCUUAUGCCAUUGAAUAUAUUAGCAUGGAAUAAUAAGAUAGGGCCCUGGUACUAUUUUGUUGGUUUGCGUACCGAGGUAAUGAUUAAUAGGGACAGUUGGGGGUAUUUGUAUUCAGUAUUCAGUGGUGAAAUACUUAGACCUACGGAAGACAAACUACUGCGAAAGCAUUUACCAAGGAUGUUUUCAUCA